This 403-nucleotide ribosomal RNA is filed under the name Verrucomicrobiota bacterium. RNAcentral describes it as "Verrucomicrobia bacterium partial 16S ribosomal RNA". It matches the Rfam family "Bacterial small subunit ribosomal RNA", at positions 355 to 776 of the family's 1533-position model. Lineage: Bacteria; Pseudomonadati; Verrucomicrobiota. The record is from RNAcentral.
UGGGGAAUAUUGCGCAAUGGGGGAAACCCUGAUGCAGCGACGCCGCGUGAGCGAAGAAGGUUUUCGAAUCGUAAAGCUCUGUCCUAUGAGAAGAUAAUGACGGUAUCAUAGGAGGAAGCCCCGGCUAAAUACGUGCCAGCAGCCGCGGUAAUACGUAUGGGGCGAGCGUUGUCCGGAAUUAUUGGGCGUAAAGGGUACGUAGGCGGUCUAUUAAGUCAGGUGUGAAAGCGUGAGGCUUAACCUCAUUAAGCACUUGAAACUGAUAGACUUGAGUGAAGGAGAGGAAAGUGGAAUUCCUAGUGUAGCGGUGAAAUGCGUAGAUAUUAGGAGGAAUACCGGUGGCGAAGGCGACUUUCUGGACUUUUACUGACGCUCAGGUACGAAAGCGUGGGGAGCAAACAGG